GACGAACGCUGGCGGCGUGCCUAAUACAUGCAAGCAGAACGCUGAAGGAGGAGCUUGCUUCUCUGGAUGAGUUGCGAACGGGUGAGUAACGCGUAGGUAACCUGCCUGGUAGCGGGGGAUAACUAUUGGAAACGAUAGCUAAUACCGCAUAAUAGUAGAUGUUGCAUGACAUUUGCUUAAAAGGUGCAAUUGCAUCACUACCAGAUGAACCUGCGUUGUAUUAGCUAGUUGGUGAGGUAACGGCUCACCAAGGCAACGAUACAUAGCCGACCUGAGAGGGUGAUCGGCCACACUGGGACUGAGACACGGCCCAGACUCCUACGGGAGGCAGCAGUAGGGAAUCUUCGGCAAUGGACGGAAGUCUGACCGAGCAACGCCGCGUGAGUGAAGAAGGUUUUCGGAUCGUAAAGCUCUGUUGUAAGAGAAGAACGAGUGUGAGAGUGGAAAGUUCACACUGUGACGGUAGCUUACCAGAAAGGGACGGCUAACUACGUG
Molecule: ribosomal RNA, 495 nt
Filed under: uncultured bacterium
Lineage: Bacteria
Description: partial 16S ribosomal RNA
Rfam family: Bacterial small subunit ribosomal RNA
Source: RNAcentral